UUCGACCUGAACUCAGGCAUGGUU
RNAcentral lists this ribosomal RNA (24 nucleotides) under Heterodera graminis. RNAcentral's name for it is "partial 28S ribosomal RNA". The record is from RNAcentral. Lineage: Eukaryota; Metazoa; Nematoda; Chromadorea; Rhabditida; Heteroderidae.